RNAcentral lists this ribosomal RNA (587 nucleotides) under uncultured bacterium. RNAcentral's name for it is "bacterial SSU rRNA". It matches the Rfam family "Bacterial small subunit ribosomal RNA", at positions 338 to 916 of the family's 1533-position model. The record is from RNAcentral.
CCUACGGGAGGCAGCAGUGGGGAAUUUUGGACAAUGGGCGCAAGCCUGAUCCAGCCAUGCCGCGUGUGGGAAGAAGGCCUUCGGGUUGUAAACCACUUUUGUCAGGGAAGAAACGGUCUGAACUAAUACUUUGGACUAAUGACGGUACCUGAAGAAUAAGCACCGGCUAACUACGUGCCAGCAGCCGCGGUAAUACGUAGGGUGCAAGCGUUAAUCGGAAUUACUGGGCGUAAAGCGUGCGCAGGCGGCUUUGCAAGACAGAUGUGAAAUCCCCGGGCUCAACCUGGGAACUGCAUUUGUGACUGCAUGGCUAGAGUACGGUAGAGGGGGAUGGAAUUCCGCGUGUAGCAGUGAAAUGCGUAGAUAUGCGGAGGAACACCGAUGGCGAAGGCAAUCCCCUGGACCUGUACUGACGCUCAUGCACGAAAGCGUGGGGAGCAAACAGGAUUAGAUACCCUGGUAGUCCACGCCCUAAACGAUGUCAACUGGUUGUUGGGAGGGUUUCUUCUCAGUAACGAAGCUAACGCGUGAAGUUGACCGCCUGGGGAGUACGGCCGCAAGGUUGAAACGUCAAAUGAAAUUGACGG